RNAcentral lists this ribosomal RNA (253 nucleotides) under uncultured bacterium. RNAcentral's name for it is "partial 16S ribosomal RNA". It matches the Rfam family "Bacterial small subunit ribosomal RNA", at positions 524 to 776 of the family's 1533-position model. The record is from RNAcentral.
UACGGAGGGGGCGAGCGUUGUCCGAAGUUACUGGGCGUAAAGCGCGUGUAGGCGGUCGGGCAAGUCGGAUGUGAAAGCCCAGGGCUCAACCCUGGAAGUGCACUCGAUACUGCUCGGCUAGAGUCCCGGAGAGGAUGGUGGAACUCUCGGUGUAGAGGUGAAAUUCGUAGAUAUCGAGAAGAACACCGGUGGCGAAGGCGGCCAUCUGGACGGUGACUGACGCUGAGACGCGAAAGCGUGGGGAGCAAACAGG